UACGUAGGGACCAAGCGUUGUUCGGAAUUACUGGGCGUAAAGGGCUCGUAGGCGGCCAACUAAGUCGGACGUGAAAUCCCUCGGCUUAACCGGGGAACUGCGUCCGAUACUGGUUGGCUUGAGUUUGGGAGAGGGAUGCGGAAUUCCAGGUGUAGCGGUGAAAUGCGUAGAUAUCUGGAGGAACACCGGUGGCGAAGGCGGCAUCCUGGACCAACACUGACACUGAGGAGCGAAAGCCAGGGGAGCAAACGGG
This 253-nucleotide ribosomal RNA is filed under the name uncultured bacterium. Its description in RNAcentral is "partial 16S ribosomal RNA". It matches the Rfam family "Bacterial small subunit ribosomal RNA", at positions 524 to 776 of the family's 1533-position model. The record is from RNAcentral.